AAAAUCUGUAUUAUUUUCACAUGUAAUUGAAAAUGAAAGAAAAAAAGCAAUUAACAUCCCAGUAUUUUUGAAAUGUGCUUAUUUUUUAUUUAUUUUUGUUUGUUUAUUUUGCUCUGAAGACCAAAUUUCAAGAGAAAUACUUGAACUGCUUGGUUAGUCAUAAGUUUAGCAAAGAUUGCCAUUGGUUAUAAACUUGAUACGAAUCAGCAUUGCUGCGCUAUGGUGGUAAAGCUACCGCUAUUCUGAGUGGUGUUAACUAAGUAUGAGGCAAAAGAAAUCAGAAUUGAUACUUCCAGCAAUCUUUGUCAGACUUUUACUUUGAAAAACUAUCUAGUUUUGCUCAUGAAUAUUUAUUAUGCAUCUUCUAUCUAUCCCAGGCUCUGUGCUGGGCAUCGAUGACAUAAUGGGGGAAAGUUUUAUCCCCUCUUGCCCCUGCUUUGAAGUGCCAACUUCCUCUCCAUUACUGUACGGACCCAGUGCUCACAAACACCUUCCUCAGAAUUUCCCAGGAUCUCUUGAGCUUCCAGAAUGGUUCUGACUCAUUGUUUAUAUCAGCAGAAAUCACUGGGAAUUGCCUGGGGCGCUGCCUACCUUCAAGGUGAAGCUGGGCAUGUGGCGGGAGUCAUGAUGAAGCCUGGGCUUCAGGAGGCUGUGCCCGCUAUUGCUUGCUCUUCUGGAAGCCUGCCUCCCCCAGGUGACCAGACCCAGACCAGCCUGCUGGGAAACGAGAAGCCACUUGGAAGAAAGCCACAGUGUCCUGACCGACAAUAAACCAGACCCCGGGUGAUUCCAGACAUGGCCCAAAUUACUGACCACAGAGCCAAAAUAACGGUGAUGAUUUUUAAGCCAUUGAAUUUGUAGUUUAUUAUGCUAUAAAAGUUAAUUGAUGGAAUCCUUACUUUACUGAGUCUGGUGGUCCUUGCCAUUCUUACCUUGUAAAUAUCACCUUCUAACAUUUACCCUAAACUAAGAAAUCCUUGCUGUACGCCUAGUUGGAAAAUUAAUGAAGAUGAGGCUCUAUCGCUGUAACAUUUAUAUCUGUGAUGGUAUCAGCCCUCUGUUAAAAGAUUGAACAGCUGGUUACUGCCUUCUGAAUAAUUCUCAAGCUUAUUAAUCCAACAUUUAAGACCCGCCACAAUUUGGUUUUAGCCCACCCUUUCAGCCUUGUAUCUAAUUUCAUUCAAAAUAUUUUUUUUUUUGUCCUGGGCUAUCUGGAUUACUCUGUUUUCCCAGUUUUCUGUGCUGUCCCACCUCUUCCCAUUCUUCACACUGUUUCCACUACCUGGAAUGCCUUUCCCCUCAUCUCUGCAAGGUCAAAUCCUGCGUAACAGCCAAGGUUCAUUUCAAACACGAACUCUCUAAUGAUACUUUUCUAAAACAUCCUCAUCCGAAGGGAUGAUUUCUUCCUCCCCUUGAAAGGCUGGAAGAGCUUGCCUUCCAGCCUUCAGGAGGCCCCCAGGGGUCUGGGGUUCUCGCUGCUUUGACCACACUGUCUGGGAUCACCUCUGCCAUCAUCGUCACUGAACUACUGAACACGUGUCGUGCUAGACCCUCCUGUUACUAGCUCAUUUAGUCCUCUUAAUUAUCCUGUCCAGGAAGCGCUAUUGCUUUCAGCUCCUAUGUGAUAAAAGUGAGGCUCGAAAACCUAAGUAAUUGGUCCAGGGUACCACCACUCUUGAGUGGCAGGUGUAGCAGUAAAGCUGAGCUUUUAUGGUGUCUCUUAGGAUGCCCUCACAGCCUCUUGUGCAGGGACACACAGCCAUUGCUAAGU
RNAcentral lists this long non-coding RNA (1771 nucleotides) under Sus scrofa (pig). Its description in RNAcentral is "lncRNA (ENSSSCG00025041149.1)". Lineage: Eukaryota; Metazoa; Chordata; Mammalia; Artiodactyla; Suidae. The record is from RNAcentral.